RNAcentral lists this ribosomal RNA (440 nucleotides) under uncultured bacterium. RNAcentral's name for it is "partial 16S ribosomal RNA". It matches the Rfam family "Bacterial small subunit ribosomal RNA", at positions 338 to 795 of the family's 1533-position model. The record is from RNAcentral.
CCUACGGGUGGCAGCAGUGGGGAAUAUUGCACAAUGGGGGAAACCCUGAUGCAGCGACGCCGCGUGAGUGAAGAAGUAUUUCGGUAUGUAAAGCCCUAUUAGCAGGGAAGAAAAUGACGGUACCUGAUUAAGAAGCCCCGGCUAACUCCGUGCCAGCAGCCGCGGUAAUACGGAGGGGGCAAGCGUUAUCCGGAUUUACUGGGCGUAAAGGGUGCGUAGACGGGCGCACAAGUCUGGAGUGAAAUGCUGGGGCUUAACUCCGGAACUGCAUUGGAAACUGUGCAGCUAGAGUGCAGGAGAGGUAAGUGGAAGUCCUAGUGUAGGGGUGAAAUGCGUAGAUAUUAAGAGGAACACCAAUGGCGAAGGCGGCUUACUGGAAUGUAACUGACGUUGAGGCACGAAAGCGUGGGGAGCAAACAGGAUUAGAUACCCGGGUAGUC